Molecule: non-coding RNA, 163 nt
Filed under: Micavibrio aeruginosavorus
Lineage: Bacteria; Pseudomonadati; Bdellovibrionota; Bdellovibrionia; Bdellovibrionales; Pseudobdellovibrionaceae
Description: 6S RNA
Rfam family: 6S / SsrS RNA
About the family: E. coli 6S RNA was the first non coding RNA to be sequenced, but its function was unknown until recently. It consists of 184 nucleotides that fold into an extended hairpin structure with a large single-stranded internal bulge.
Source: RNAcentral
UGGAUGCUGCGGGGAUGCGUGCAGGUGCAAUUUUCCCACUGACCGAUACAUAUUUGCGACAGGGGGCUGUCGCUGACAGGGCCGUGGUCCUGUUAUAUGGCUCCCACCUUAAUUUAGGGGUCAUCGCGGAUAUUUCGCACCCACGGCCUUUCGUGGCAUCCAC